RNAcentral lists this unclassified non-coding RNA (1317 nucleotides) under Hevea brasiliensis (rubber tree). Lineage: Eukaryota; Viridiplantae; Streptophyta; Magnoliopsida; Malpighiales; Euphorbiaceae. The record is from RNAcentral.
CACGCCAUCCAGUAACAAUGCCAAGUAAAAAAACUGCUCGGUUUCAUUUUUAAAACAACUGUAUAAUCAGUUCAGUUUCAUGAUGCUGGGUAAAGAUUAAAGAUUUCAUGAUCCUAUAACUCUCACUCGUAUUUAGGUAUUAUGAACACUUCAAAAACAAGCGAGACUAUCGAUUCAGCUUCUUCUCAAAAACAAACCUUUGACAUUAGUUACAAAAGUUCUAGCACUCUAACAGGUUUUUCAUGCAGUAAGUACCUGUGAGAAACCACACCAUGAGAAGGAAGGAGAAUGAAAAUAGCCCAAUUAGAAAGGGCCAGCCAACAAAAACAAUACCUAGGCAGAGAACCACUGUGAAAGGAAAGAAUGAUCUGAUUAUUGACUUCCAGUUGAUCCAAUGUCCCUUGAACAGUAUAAGAGCCGCCACAUUUAUCAUGUUCCAACCCAUUGAACCACGAUAACAGAGUCGAUUCAGGCAGUUGGCAACAAAUGAAUGAGAGUUACAUGUAAAAAGGUUGUAGGUUUUAUGCUCAAAGUGACACACGCUUGACUGAAGAGCAUCAUCCCAUGUGAUUGCAGCCCCAUACUCGGUGUGCAUAUAGCCAUGCUUGCAUGUGUGCCCAGCUAGGUUUGGGGGAAAGCAACACUGGAUUAACAACUCAAAUACCAGAACAAAUUUGUCAAUAGAACAACAGAAGUAUCUCUUUCAUGAAGCAAUGAUGGGAAAAUGAUCAAAUACUCCUGAAGCACUAAAAAUCAAUGCUCCGUACACUCACAAAAAAUCAGUUAUCCUUGAAGGCGCUAUGAAAUUGUGAGUGAAGGUACGUGUACUGGAAGCACCUAAUAAUUUCUCACAAUGACGACAGUAACAUACUAAAUAAAUUCAUGAUUCCAAAUGAGUUGCCAUCUUGUUUUGGAAAUGCGGUGGCUUUCCCAACAUCAAGAUAUGACUAAGAAGAAAACAAAAAUCACCACACUGAGUAAAUCUAAUUCAUCUUUUUGUAUUAUUCCACAAAUGUAGUGAUUUUAUAAGCAUGAAAAUUGAGUCUUAUCAUUUGCAUGAAAUCACCCUUAAUAAAUGAUUCUUAUACUAAUAGAAGGAGAGAGAGAGAGAGAGAGAAGGGAAAAAAGGAGGAUAUUUCACUCAUUAUAAAAUUCUACGAUGUUAUACCAAACUAAUAGUAUUGAAAACCAAUAAUAUCCACUUUUGAUGCUCCAUAUAUUCCAUAACAAUUAAAUAUAGCAUAUCUAUUAUAAUGCAACCCCUAAACAAUUUAUUCUAAAAAUGGUAAUUAGAACACACACACACACACACACACA